RNAcentral lists this ribosomal RNA (331 nucleotides) under uncultured Acidobacteriota bacterium. RNAcentral describes it as "bacterial SSU rRNA". It matches the Rfam family "Bacterial small subunit ribosomal RNA", at positions 29 to 351 of the family's 1533-position model. Lineage: Bacteria; Pseudomonadati; Acidobacteriota. The record is from RNAcentral.
AAUCAACGCUGGCGGCGUGCCUAACACAUGCAAGUCGAACGAGAAAGUCUCCGCAAGGGGAUGAGUAAAGUGGCGAAUGGGUGAGUAACACGUAGCUAACCUGCCCUGGAGUGGGGGAUAACCUGGGGAAACCUGGGCUAAUACCGCAUGACAUCCCGACGGCAAAAGGCGACGGGGUCAAAGGCCCGCAAGGGUCACUCAAGGAGGGGGCUGCGGCCGAUUAGCUAGUUGGUGAGGUAAUGGCUCACCAAGGCUAUGAUCGGUAGCCGGCCUGAGAGGGCGCACGGCCACACUGGCACUGAAACACGGGCCAGACUCCUACGGGUGGCUG